Anopheles moucheti is the source of this 1275-nucleotide long non-coding RNA. RefSeq lists it as uncharacterized. The record is from RefSeq and is a predicted model, not a curated record. Lineage: Eukaryota; Metazoa; Arthropoda; Insecta; Diptera; Culicidae. The transcript has 4 exons.
UCACGCGUCCCUUUGGCCAACUGUUCCGCGGCAAACAAUUGUCGACUACUACUACUACAUCUCCCACCUGAAUCGGCCGCACCGACUCGAACCACUUCGAUCGACGGGUCAGCGUGGGGAGGUAUGCCGAUACCCAUCUCCUCCAGAAUACGUCAGCGUCGCGUUGGGCGGCUCUCCACGCUGAUUUAGCAGCGGUACCACUGUCGUCAAAUACGGCGGGCGGCUUGCACCCGUUGGAGCUUCCGAGUAGUAGAUGAUUUGGUGUGAUCGGUGUGUCCACCGAUGUGUCCAUCUCGUCGUCCAACGGCACGUAGUUUUCUUUUCAGGAGCUCGUACCGUUUCAUCGUUGCAGCUUUGUUACAUGGCAAUCGGACGUCAUCAUAUCUCCAUAGUAAGCCCGUUUCGAAUCGAUCGCCCUGCAGUUUGGUUUCUCGGUUAAGUAUCACCAGGGCACGUUCAUCGUCUUUGGAUUUGAGUAAGCGUGAUGGCUUAGUGAUACCCAGUGAAUCCAACGAGAAGAACGCCUUAACCUCGCUUGUGAGUACAUCAUCGACGUUACCUUCGCAGCGGCAGAUGUGAAAACUUCCGUGUCCUCCAGUUACACUAGCGGUUGCAAUAGGGCAGGCGGCUUUCCCAAACGACAAUUGUCUACACCAAUUAGUACUCGAGGUACGGCAUCGAAGUAGGAGGUAAACGGUAAACCCUUCAGAUGUGAAUACGCAGAUUGCAGUUGUUUACCAUCUAUCGUCUGCGCGGGCAAGGCUAGAUUGCUGACCGUGUGUACCUUUGUCAGCUCAUGCACUGGAGCCCCUUCGUAUGCACCUGAUAUUCGCACUGCCAGCUGGACGGAAGCCUUUUCUGCUCUGGUAGUAUCUCCGGUCCACUUGAGACACAAUGGCCGUGACGUUCCGAUCAACCCUAAUUCGUCCAUCAGGCUAUGAUCGAUGAAGGUCGAUGACGAACCUUCGUCGAGAAAAGCGUACGUUCGAACCGUCCUGCCAUCCUUUCCAUACAUCGUUACCGGUACGUAGCGGAACAAAGUGCGAUCGUUGGAGCCGGAAUGAGUAAGGCAAUGCUUUUCUGUUGUGUUGGUCAUACCCAGAGAACCAUGUAGCAACCUAUGGUGCAUUGCCUCGCACCCAUUGGAUCCGCAAACUGUUUUAAGCGACGGUCAUCGUUUGGAAUCGUUGGCAUGUAUCCAGUGCGGCACACUCUCCCUGGCAGGCUGAACAUUUGGAAACAUUUGUAUGUGGGUACUUACCGCUUGUGGUGGCG